This 439-nucleotide ribosomal RNA is filed under the name uncultured bacterium. Its description in RNAcentral is "partial 16S ribosomal RNA". It matches the Rfam family "Bacterial small subunit ribosomal RNA", at positions 339 to 795 of the family's 1533-position model. The record is from RNAcentral.
CUACGGGAUGCAGCAGUGAGGAAUAUUGCACAAUGGGGGGAACCCUGAUGCAGCAACGCCGCGUGGAGGAUGACGCAUUUCGGUGUGUAAACUCCUUUUAUAUGUCAAGAAAAUGGCGGUAGCAUAUGAAUAAGCACCGGCUAACUCCGUGCCAGCAGCCGCGGUAAUACGGAGGGUGCAAGCGUUACUCGGAAUCACUGGGCGUAAAGGACGCGUAGGCGGGUUGGAAAGUCAGGUGUGAAAUCCUACAGCUUAACUGUAGAACUGCACUUGAAACUUCUAAUCUAGAGUAUGGGAGGGGGAGAUGGAAUUAGUGGUGUAGGGGUAAAAUCCGUAGAUAUCACUAGGAAUACCUAAAGCGAAGGCGAUCUCCUAGAACAUUACUGACGCUAAGGCGUGAAAGCGUGGGGAACAAACAGGAUUAGAUACCCCAGUAGUC